GUGUAUUUUAGAUGUAUGUCUGCAGGUAGGGACUGCCUUGUUUGACAUGAAUGUAAGCCUUUGGGGGUGUGUCUGAAAAUCCACUGUACAAACCCUCUAAAUAAAUAAUAAUAAAUAGUAAAGCCAAUGUAAACAUAACCUGUCCCCAUGCAUAAACAGAAGUUAUCUAACGAUGACUACCAACUGUUGGAUGUUGUUUAAAAUUGUGGCUGUUGGGAUUCAGCUGCUGCCGUGGUCGGGGGAACCGCUGUUGGGGUGGGAUUGUUCUGUGGUCUUUCAUUUCUCUGGUAGUUUCUAGGGAGAGCUGUAUUGUAGCCUCCUUCCAAAGCUGAGUUGUUUGUUUCAGCUCAUGAAACCUCUCGGGUGCAAGUAAAUAUUCAGUAUUUCCUUGAAUUUGGUGUGAGUCAGAGGAACAUGUUUUACUAAGAAAUGGGGGUGGGGGUGAACCCUGUAAACGUCCCAGUCGGGAUGUGCGCAGAAUCCGGCCAAGCUCUCAAGAAAUUGGGUCUCAUUUCGCAGAAGAGUGGAGAUAAAAACUCACAGGGGGAAGCUUAUCAGCCGCACGCACCCGGAGAGGAGGAAGUGGGGGGCUGGCCUGCAUUUUGAUGCUGCGCGUAGCAGCUGAGAAUGGUUUGCUGACUCUAAAACAAACAUGGAAACUCAGAAAGGAAAAGUAGCCAUGUUUGGCCCAAAAGAAAAAAAAAUCAAAAACCAUAUUCGGGCCGGUGGAGGAUUAAGGCAAGUGGGGCACGGUCCUCCAGUCUCUGUCUGCCUUCCGCCAGCCCUCACCUGCCUGCCUUCCAGCUUACAGCCAGUCUGAGGGGUGGCCCUGCCUGUCAGCUUCCCCCUCCGUAGUCUCAGUGACCCCCCUUGUAGAACUUGGCAGGGAGGAAGCGGAGGAUGGGGACAAGACUGGAACAAAUUGGCCCUGCCUGCCAUUGGCUUUGGUUCCCUCAGCUGCUUGGGCUUCCUGACUUCUGCCCCACGAGUCGCGACGGGCACCAGCCACCGCCACUGAUUAGGGUGGUGCCUUUUAUUAGGCCAACCAGAACACUGCAAAACAGUGUGCAAGCUUCACAAGUUCUCCAGAACUCUUCAUCAGGCUAGAUGAUAAGCAAAGCAAAUUUUGGGGCAGGGGAGAGAGAGAGAGAGAAAUCUGGCUGGAAUGUGUCCCUGAACUCUGAUAUUGCCUUUAGCUUGCCUGGAUGUAGGAUAGAGAGAGAUGUGUGUUGUACAAAGGUACCUCGCUGGAUCAUCACUUUGUAGUGGUGAGUGGGCUUGCGUGUUCCAAUUAUUGUUAUUAUUAUUAUUUUAUUAUUAUUAUUUAUUGUACUUAUAUACCGCCCCAUAGCCAAAGCCUAUGAGCAAUGCCGUCAGGAGUCAUGUACUUCCAGCAGGGUCACCCAUGGUGGUAAGGUCAAGGGAGAGGAACCAGACAAAGAACGAUCCAAGAAUGUCGUCAACGGCAGAACAGGCGGAGGAUAACAAUGUGUACGUUACAACGGCUGUGAAGGCGGAUGAAGGCUGCAGCAGAUAAAGGACUUCCAAUCGUCAUGGUACCCAUGCCAUUGGAUCAAAGUCUUUUUCUGUCAAGAUUGUGUGUUGAUCGUGGUGCACCGAUCUCUCCACAUAAAACAAAUUCACACACAGGCGUCUUCCAUAACAAAAGUCCCAUGGCGAUCAGUGAAUGAUGACUGGGGCAGGACUGUGAAAUCCAGAAGCCUCUAGUCAUGAACUGGUACAUCUGCGGUGGAUACAGAUUCAGACGGAUCCAUUGUUAAAGACUUUAUUUUGGAAGACAAUUUUACUCGGUCAUGAGUGAUCGCCAAGAAGAAGUACAUAGAUGUGGCUGGACUCCCAACUCUCUUCUUCUUCGUCUUUAUCAUCAUCAUCAUCAUCACCCCUGACCAUUGGCUGCUGCAGCAGAUGAGAGCCAGAGUCCAACAAAAUAUGGAGGGCACUCCAGUGGCUGCUUUUGCUGUGAGGGACGAGGACUGUUCGAGGAACUAAGGAUCCAGUCUGAAGCCCCUGCUGCAGCCGCUUGACUGAAGUUCGCAAACCAGGCUGAUCAUCCUGAAUAAGCAGAGCUCCCUGCGGUAGCUGGGCAUCCAAGCCCCAUUAAAGUUGGGGCACCUGCCUAUGCCUUCAGAAGCAAGUUCCUCUUCUGCACCCCCCGCCCAACAAAGAGGCCAGAGUCCUCCUGAAAUGCCUGCUAACAGCAGCAUGCUGUUUGGAAAGCUACAGUCAGUUACUGUCCGCCCCUAAAAGGGAAAAGGCACCCUGGAUAUGCUCAGAAGCAUUUUGUCCGUUGUCUUACCCAGCUCCCCAAACACUAGAAGGCAAGCUCUUCCCAGCCCUUCUUUCUGCUUUGGGGUGUGGUGGCCUGGAAGGUAACGGCUCACACUUCCUUGACACAACAUACCAACCCAAAACACAGCUAUCGUUUGACAUUCGUACUUAUCCAAAGUUUUUCCUGAUGUUCAGGCAAAACCUGGCUUCCUGCAACUUGAGCCCAUUAUUCCGUGUCCUGCACUCUGGGACGAUCGAGAAGAGAUCCCGGCCCUCCUCUGUGUGACAGCCUUUCACGUCCUUGAGCAGUGCUAUCAUCUCUCCCCUCAGUCUUCUCUUCUCAAGGCUGAACAUGCCCCGUUUUCAGUCUCUCCAUGUACCACUUCCCUGUGGGGAACUACCAGGCGCAGGCCACGCAGAAUUGAGCCCGCCCCACCUCCAGUGACGUCGGCUGGUUGACGGGCAGGCGUGGGUUGGGGGAAACGGCCUCGCUGGCCAAACUGAACCCCCUGGCGGGCCACGACUGGCCCACAGUAUGGAGAUUUCCCACCCGUUUUAUUUAUCUGAAUUAUUUAAUCAUUAUUUAAUUAUAUUAUUAUUAUGUAACUAUUUUAAUUAUGGAGGUUUACAUUUUGAUGCCGACGUCAUUUUUCUGUAUGCUUGUAGACCGCUCCGCUUUGGCACAAAGCAGAUUAUAAAUGGAUAAAUAACCCUGCUAACGACAACUCCGAGGACAA
Molecule: long non-coding RNA, 3026 nt
Organism: Rhineura floridana
Lineage: Eukaryota; Metazoa; Chordata; Lepidosauria; Squamata; Rhineuridae
Exons: 6
Source: RefSeq, a predicted model, not a curated record